AUGCAAUUUGGAGUGACUGAGGAGAAGUAUUCUGAGCUGCAGUGGGACUUGGUGAGACCAUGCCGUUGGGAGAGAGAGCGAGCGAGCAGAGAGAGGGAGGGAGGGAGGGAGAGAGAUAGGGAUUUGGUGAGAUGACCGUGCCUGUUGCUUUGGUCAGAGCGUCAUUGGGGGAGGAGGACAGAGGGACUGACAGAUUGGAGAGAGAUGGGAGCUAGGGGUUUCGACUCAGUGAGAUUGUGAGGGAGAGGGGAUGUCAGAGACAGAUGAGAGGGAGCUGGGUGUGGGAAUUGCAAAGAGAGAAAGAGAACUCAGAAGAUAUUUGUUUUGUUGUGAGCUGACAAGAAAAAGGGGAGAAACGAUGACAAAGUGACAGAAUCUGAGAAUCUAAAGUAAAAAAUGAUUAGUGGGUUUUAGCUUCUGGCACUUUCUUCCCUGCUUUCUAAACCCAUUUUUCACUGCACUCCUUCAAGCUCUGGAAGUGUUCGCACAGAUUGGAGCUCAAAGGCGUCAGAUUUUAUGGAACAAAUGGUCUCAGAGAAGCAGAUUACACUGCGCGGGACCCGAUGGGCCUGGAUUUGCCCUUGAAGAUGCCGUGGUCCUGAUAGUCGGUCACUUCUGCAACAGUUCCAAACAAAGGAUUCGGUUCCCAAACUCCGACGAUUGUGUCUGUGGCAAAGAGAAUUCGGGAAGAGUGGAAGAUCCUGGAGAAGGAUU
This 714-nucleotide small RNA is filed under the name Malus domestica (apple). Its description in RNAcentral is "sRNA MD11G0185400". Lineage: Eukaryota; Viridiplantae; Streptophyta; Magnoliopsida; Rosales; Rosaceae. The record is from RNAcentral.